CUGAAGUGUUCAGAUUUUCCGUGUCAUCACUAAGAUAUCUGUAAGUGUUCCUGUUAUGAUGCAGAAAAUCAUCUUUGAGGAUGUUUAAGGAGUAAGUGCAGCACAGCAUACAACCAUCAUCUUCCACAGUGCGAACUGCUUGCUGAACACACCGAGGGGUGGAAGCAGGAGAGAAGAGAGUCUGAGGAUCCUGUCUUUCUACUUGGUGUUGGUGGUAACAAUUUCAGUGUUCAUGAGGAGAACUGACACAAUGAAUCAGAAGCAGAGAGAGGAAACACAGACUGAAGAAGCAGAGAGCUAUUUUUGAAGCUCCUUAAAUCAG
Molecule: long non-coding RNA, 322 nt
Filed under: Pan troglodytes (chimpanzee)
Lineage: Eukaryota; Metazoa; Chordata; Mammalia; Primates; Hominidae
Description: long non-coding RNA NONPTRT007727
Source: RNAcentral